RNAcentral lists this long non-coding RNA (7769 nucleotides) under Phaseolus vulgaris (common bean). RNAcentral's name for it is "long non-coding RNA (PVUL_LNC003771)". The record is from RNAcentral. Lineage: Eukaryota; Viridiplantae; Streptophyta; Magnoliopsida; Fabales; Fabaceae.
UCCCUGUCAAGAACAUGGAAUAACACUCCUAAGCCUUACAAUAUAUAGAAAAUGUUGUGGCCAUAUCCAUCACUGAAAUGUGUUUGAAUUGUUACCCAAAAUUAAAGUGGGGAGUAGCAACUCCAGAGGCUUCUCUGGUGCCCCAACUGCCACCAGUUUCCCAUGAGACUUCAAUAGAUCAAUCAAUGGCAUUAGAGGAUGAACUGCAAAAACAGUGUCAAUUAUACCAUCCAAGGUGCAUAUUGCAGCCUGCAUGAACAGUUACACGAAUAUGUCAUAUUGCUUUCUCACUCUUGUUUGGUUAAAAUCAAAGAGAUGAGUCAAACAAGAUUGUAAUUAACUCAAUCCUAGAAAAUAAAUUACAUAUAAUGGUCCCAUAGAAACAACAACAAUUAGUAUACCAUAUAUAGUUUCAACUUAAUUCAAUUCACUUGUAAAGUAAAAACUAUUUCACAUUUUGUAUGUUAUGUUAUUUUUAGUUCAUUUUAGAGUUUUUUUACGAAAAUGGGAUAAUUUUCUCCUUUUUAUCAUAACUUCUGAAAGUAUUAUGGGUUUAGAUAAGUUAGGCUAACAUGACAAGAUUUUUCUGACACUUCAAAAUGAAAUCGUGUUAAGGUGUCACAACUUUAGUUUAACCAGUUUAAACUGAAGUCAUGUCAGCUUAUCAACUUGACAUAUCAGAAAUUAUAUUACCUUAUUAACAAUUUUAGUGUAACCAGUUUGAACUGAAGUCAUGUCACCUUAUUGACUUGACAUGUCAGACUUUUUCAAAAUAAAGUUAUGUUACACAAUUUUUUCAUGAUUUUGUAUUACCUUGUCAUAAUUUUUUCAAAAUGAAAUUGUGUCAGUUAGCACAAUUUUUUCAUAUUGAUAAUUUUUUCAAAAGUAAUAAAAAAGGGAGAAAGUCUCACUUUCAUAAAAGUUCUUAUUUUGGGAAGCAUGGUGUGAAGGAAAAAAACAAAAUAGUCACCUUCAUUUGAUCUUGGUCUCUGCUGACCACAAAGGAAUCUGCUCCAAGAUGUUGAAUGGCUUCUUCUUUCUUAUUAGGAGAGGUACUAAUGACAGUGACCUUCAAGCCAAGGGCUUUUGCAAACUUGACAGCCAGAUGGCCCAGUCCUCCAAGGCCAACCACUCCCAGGUGCAAACCAGGUUUAUCAAGGCCAAAAUAUCUCAAAGGGCCAUACACUGUGAUCCCUGCACAUAGCAGAGGAGCAGCAGCAUCAAGAGGUAGGCCAUUGGGAAUGCUGACAACAAAGUGUUCAUCUACAACCAUGAAGUCAGAGAAUCCCCCAUAUGUGAUGCUCCCAUCCACAUACUUGGCACCAUAUGUGUGAAUCAAUUUUUGACAGUAAUUCUCAAGAUUGUUGACACAGUUUUGGCAUGAGUGACAAGACCCAACCAAGCAUCCCACAGCCACCUUCUCUCCAACCUUAAACUUUUUUACUUUGCUUCCCACCUCUGUCACUUCUCCAACAAUCUCACGCCUGCAAAUUUUUUUUAUAUCAGCAAAAAUAAAUAAAUAAAUAUGAAUCAUUUCAAAAGUGGUUUACUCCUUAUACAAAACAAGAUACUUUUGACUUAACCUUUCUUUUUGCAACUUACUAAAACCCAACAAGAUUAACGACAAAAUAAACACCCUAACCAAAAGACAAGCUUUACACAUACUGACAAAGCCUUCAAAGUCAACCAUCUCAAACAAAAGGUCUUGAAGUUCACAGUGACUUAAUUAGAAACAUACAAACCAGAGAGUUAAUGCACCAAUUAGAAAAAAACAAUUAUCAUAAAAAUUUGAGAUCAAAGAAGCACAAGAUUUUACAUGUCUAAUAAUAGCUCUGUUAUACUGUGAUUAGAUAUUUACAUGGUCUUUACCAUUUCUUUCUUCUCUUAUCUCAUUUCUCUCCUUUUCUUUGCAUACAAAAUAUCCAUUUUCUAUAUUUGUAUCAUACUUCUUUCUUACCUACUUACAAAUCAUUUUGUAAAAGGAACAAGGUAAAAGACACAAACAUUAUUAGAAAAGAAGAAGGAGAAAUCAUACCCAGGAACAAGUGGAUAAAUGGAAUCACUCCAUUCAUUCUUCAAUUUGUGAAGGUCUGAGUGACAUAUUCCACAGUACAACACCUUGAAUGUCACAUCUUUCUCACCUGUUUUUCUGUUAUUCCAAACACCAUUUUAGAACUCUAAUUUUGUUGUUUAAAUUGAUUAUCGAUUCACAUAGUAAUAUUAUACAAAAACUCCUUAUAUAAGAUGACUAAUAUCUUAAAAAUGAAACUUUUCGAGUUUUAAGUAAAAUUUGUUAAAGUUUUUAUAACAAAAAUGAUACUAUAAUUUAAUAUAUUGAUAGUAUUUUUCAAUUUUUUACACAGAUAAAAUUGUCUGUUAAUUAGUAUUUACUAAAUAAAGUUCUAAUGUUUAUACUAAUUUUUUUUUUAUUAAAAUAUUAUACCAAGGAGAGCUACUAUAUAUACCCACUGUUUCCAGCGUGUAAUAAACAAUAGUUUGUAGGUGAGUGAGACUUGGAUAAAGUUUAAUUUCUUAUUUUAAUUUUUUUAUUUCCUAUAUUAUUUUAAUUGAUUUUACUUCAUACCUUGCAAAAAUUAUUAAGAUUUUUUAUUUAGAAUUCUUCGUAUAAAUCUAACAUAUUAGAUUCUCAUCUUCUUUUACAAUAUCCAUAUUUCUUUAGUUUUAAAAGCAAUACACUUUCCAUCCAUCACUAAAUAAAAAUCAAUUCUAGAUAAAAAAAAUAAUUAGUUGUUAUAUUGACUAAAUUAUAUAUUAUUUUAUAGACUAAAAAAUGAUUAAUUUCUAAAUUAGUUUCUAUUAUUGAUAAAUAGUUUCUAAAUUAGUACCUAAUUAGCUACUAAAAUUUUUGCGACCAAAUUUAGAAUCUAAAUAAUUGGUAGUUAAAAUAUUGGUAGUUAAUUAGAUACCAAUUUAGACUUUAUUUAUCAAUAAUAGAAACUAAUUUAGAAAUCAAUAAAUAUUUUAGUCUCUAAAAUAGUAUCUAAUUUAGUCAAUAUAACAAUUAAUUAUUUUAAAUCUCUAAAAUUAGUUUUUAUUUAAUAAUUUUCUAAUAGGACAGAAUAACUUUCUAAUAAUGUUCGAUCGAUUACAUAUUAAUCAAUAUUCGAUUUAAUGGAAUGAGGUUAUCAACAAAUUUUUUUAUCUAAGUCACUGAAAUUAUACAAGAUUAUACACGAAAGAUUCUUAUUUGGCUAGCCUUAUGUCUCUUAUCCUAGGUCUUCCUCCACUAGGAGGUGCAUAUAUGAUGCAAAAUUUUCUAGAUAUCAUGAAAUACUCAGUAACUUGUUGAAAAAAUAUGUAAGAAAGCUAAAAUGGGAUGCUUUCAAGUAUAUUUACAUAACUAUGAAGAAAUUAAGGUUUAAAAUAUUGAUUAUCCUAAUUGAGAGGAGAAUGAAAGACCUUCUGGAGAACAAAAAUGGGGAGAGAACACCAGAUGUAUCCCUAGCAGCCCAUCCAUAGGCCUUCCUUGGAUGCUCAACUUCAGGUUCCACUGCCAUUUCACUCAAAUCUGCAACUCAGAAACAAAGUAAACUCCCAGAAAAGUUAAAGAAAGGAGUAACAAAAACUGUGUUUAGUGUGUGAGAGAGAUGAAUAAGUAACUGAUGUGUCUUAAGAAAGCCAAGUUUAAGGAUAUUUAUAAGAUGGAAAGUGGGGCCUUCUGGUGUCUGCUGUCUGCUGCAUUGACGUAUCGAAUGACCUCCUUCAUCUGAUACUAAAUAAAAUAUGAGUACCUUGCUAGCAUAAUUAAGAAAAACUAAUCACAGAUAUUAUAUAUGUUUCUGUGAUUAAUGCUAUUGAUUAAUGAAUGCAAUUCUAGAGCUAUCAGUGAUCUGCAAUAUGUGUUGACCAAUUAAUGCUAGAGCCGCCAGCAAAAGUAUAUGCAUUGAAUCAAUGAAUACUUGCAAUGGAAUCGAUUGGAUUAAUUACUUUUAAAAUAUAUGUGGUUACUUUUUCAAAUUCUAUUUUGAUUGUAUUUAUGUUUUAAGUAGUUAUGUAAAAGUUGGUUUGCUUAAACAUGUUUAGUGUAAUAUUUUAUUUAUAGUUUUUUUUUUGGGUGGUGUUAUUAGUAUAUAAGAUCUCUAAAAGCUGUAUUUAAGUUUUUUAAUAGCAUAUUUUAUUUUGAGAGUUUAAGUGGAUUUUUUAGGCCCAUACUAAAUUUAUGCUCGAGAUGACUCUUUAAGUGACUAACUCUCUUAAUGUAAUGUUUAAUUUUGACUCAGUUGUGUGUAAUGUAUGGUGUAUAUUUUUUUUAUUAUUGUUUAAUGUUAAAUGUUCUAUUAUCGAGAAAAAUAAGUGUGGUUAACUAUCAUAGAGGUUGCAUAAAGAAGAAGAAAUUAAUUUUGCAUGGGGCAAAUUAAAUGCUUCUCAAAUUAAAGCACAAUAGAUGGAAGGAGAAAAAGAAAAAAAAAACAUUGAUUUGAGUUCAAAGCUACUUGAUGCUAAGAAAAAAAAAGCAAUAACUAUUUUAUUCAAGUUUAUAUAGAUUAGGGAUGACAAUGCGAGACAAACUCACUAAUCUAACUUUUUAAUCCCCUUUGGUUCGUCUUGCAUAACCCACAACCCGCACGGGCCAACAAUAGGCGAAUUGGUCCGCGUAAAAAAAAAAUAAUUAUUUUUUUUAUAUAUAAAAAAAAUCAUACCUCAUUCAUCCAUUAUUGCAGUGUGGCCUUUAUUUUAUUUUAUUUAAAAUAAAUAAAUUUAAUGUACUAAAAAAUGGAUGUUUUAUUUUAAUUAGGUAAAAGAGUUAGUAUUAAUAGUGAUAGUGGAUUUAGUUUUAUGUAAAGUCUUAUAUUUAAAAUUUGUUAAUAAAAAAAAUAUAUAAAUAAAUGAUUUCAAUAUGAUAGUUAAAAAAUUAGUCAUCUUCAUUAAAAUAGUUUGUAGCAAAACUUUUAUAAGAUACUCUUGUACAUUUACAUACGUAUAUAGGAAAAAUAGACGCAAAACAAAACUUUAAUUAUUUUUUAUCAAUUCUUCUAACAACCCUCAUACUUAAAUUUAUAUUUUGAUCUUAAUUAAAUGAAUUGAAACACGGAUACAAUUUUAAUUUUUCAGUAGUAAGAAUAAGUUUUUUUAUAAUUAAUGAAAUUUUAAGUUUUGAAAAGAAAAAAUAAUCUUAUGCAAGUUGGUCCGUGGGUAAUUUCUUAUGCAGGGCGGGCCAAUGAAGUGAGUCGUACUCCUAGCGCGAGGCAGGCCAAUUGGACUCGCAUUUUGCGGGUCUAUGCGAUGCGGGCCAACCCGCAUUGCCACCCUACAUUGUCACCCCUAAUAUAAAGACAUCCUUCGAAGAGAAUAACAAAAAUAACCAUUAUUUUACAAGUGUUGAAACUGCUAAUUUUAUCAAUACCCUAAAAGCUUUGUAAAAAUACUAUUUAUGUUCAUCACAACAAACUAGUAGAGAGAGCAUAAAUCAUUGCAUAAAUCAAAAGACACUACCAUAUCUAGUAAAUAAAAAAAUAUGAUUUUUUGAUCAUAAAGACAUUAUUUGUAUCUCAAGCCAAGAAUGACUUUAUGUUUAAAGUGUAGGGACAACUGACUCUAUAAGGGAUUGAAUGAAGUUUGAACUCAAUUCACGAGUCUAAUAACAAAAUAAAAAUAACAUUUAACCGACAAAGGAAAUAAAACACAUAUUUAUGUUGGUUCACCCUAUCCCUUACGUUACAUCCAGUCCCUUUAAACAAACUACUUAAGAACUUUUCACUAAAUUAUUAAUAUUUAAUGUAGUUUCUAUUAUUAAUAUAAUUUUAUAAAAUAGUUUUUAAAUUUGUAUAUAAUUAGUAGUUACGUUUUUAGUUACUAAAUACUUUAUAUUUUAAAUAAGUUUAUUUUCAAUUUCUAAAUUAGUCUCUGUGCUAAAAUAAAGUAAUGUGAUAGAAAAUAUGGAAAUCGUUUCCACUAUUAUAUUAUAAAAAGGACUAUAAUAAUAUUAUUAUUAUUAUUAUUAUUUAGGUUUAAAUUUAUAAAAAUAAAAAUUAUAGUGCUCAUUAUUAUUAAUUCAUCGUUUAUUUUAUACAAUUUAUUAUUAGUUUAAAAGAAAAUGAUACAGUAAAUAAAAUGAUACUUAAUAUUAAAUCACUAAAUUAACAUUUAAUUAUCAAAAUCAUAUAUAAAUUUUAUUAAAUAAACUAAUACUAAUAAAUUUAACAUCACUACAAACUAUAUAAAAAAAAGUAAAAUCUCAGUCAAUUCAUAUAUAUUUUUAUAUAUAAAUCAUAAAAUAACAUGGAUGUGAGAUGUGGAAAUUAGAUUGAGUUUCCUUAUUGAGAACAAAACGUGUGUGGCGAAUAACAUCAGGAAUACCAAAUAUAGUGUGAAUCACUCCAAAUAGCAGUUAGGGUUUCAAUGUGUUCCCAAUGUCAAUCACAAAUCGAUAUUUAACAUCAGCUUUCACUAGUCUCUGCAUUGCUGUGUUCACAUAAUCCAUUGGAAUUACUUCAAUUUCUGGUCUAAUAUUGUGUUCAGCAGCAAAAUCAAUCAUUUCUUGUGUCUCCUUCAUUCCUCCAAUGUAACUACCUGCUACACUUUUUCUCCCUGCCAAGAACAUGCAAUAACACUCCUAAGCCUUACAAUAUAUAGAAAAUGUUGUGGCCAUAUCCAUCACUGAAAUGUAUUUGAAUUGUUACCCAAAAUUAAAGUGGGGAGUAGCAACUCCAGAGGCUUCUCUGGUGCCCCAACUGCCACCAGUGUCCCAUGAGACUUCAGUAGAUCAAUCAAAGGCAUCAGAGGAUGAACUGCAGAAACAGUGUCGAUUAUACCAUCCAAGGUGCAUAUUGCAGCCUACAUACACAGUUUCAGGAUUAUAUCAUAAUGCUUUCUCUCUCAACACUUUUCACUCUUUUUGGUUAAAAUCAAAGAGAUGAGUCAAACAAGAUUGUACUUAACUCAAUCCUAGAAAAUAAAUUACCUAUAAUGGUCCCACAGAAACAACAACAAUCAUAAUUUCAACUUAAUUCAAUUUCACUCGUAAAGUAAAAACUAUUUCACAUUUUGUAUGUUAUAUUAUUUUUAGGAAACUUUAGAGUAUUUUUUUUUUACUAAAAUGUAUAAUUUCCCCUUUUUUAUCCUAGUUUUUGGAAAUAUUAUGGAUUUGGAAAAAUCGUGUCAACAUGACACGACUUUUUUUAUAUUUCAAGGUAAAAUCGUAUUAAAGUGUCAUCACAACUAGUUAGAAUUGAAGUCAUAUCACUUUGUCGAUUUCACCUUGUCAUGAUUUUUUCACAAUAAAGUUGUAUCGACUAUUCAUGACACGUAAGAAAUAGAUGAAUAAUCAUCUGUUUUCGUAACAAAUUGAUUUUUUUUUUUCAGAAUCCUAUAAGAAUUUUUUUGUUGGAAAUCUUGCAAGAAUUACUCGUUCUUUUUUUCUCUAACAGAUGAUCAAAACUUCAUUUGAAUUUGAAUCGAAUCUCAUAAAUUGUCGAAAAAAGAACAAAAGAAACAUCUUACUCUUUCUAUAUGAUUAGAAAAAAAAAUAGUGAAUUUAUAGGACUUUUUCAUGUUGGUAAUUUUUUCACAAAAUUAACCCCAUUUUAGUAAAAAAACCCCAUUUAAGUAAAAAAUGGAGAAAAUUGUCUCACUUUCAUGAAAGUUCUUAUUAUGAAAAGCAUGGUGUGAAGGAAAAAAACAAAAUAGGCACCUUCAUUUGAUCUUGGUCUCUACUGACCAGAAAGGAAUCUGCUCCAAGAUGUUGAAUGGCUUCUUCUUUCUUAUUAGGAGAGGUACUAAUGACAGUGACCUUCAAACCAAGGGCUUUU